This 605-nucleotide ribosomal RNA is filed under the name uncultured bacterium. RNAcentral describes it as "bacterial SSU rRNA". It matches the Rfam family "Bacterial small subunit ribosomal RNA", at positions 889 to 1503 of the family's 1533-position model. The record is from RNAcentral.
CAACGGUGAAACUCAAAGGAAUUGACGGGGGCCCGCACAAGCGGAGGAACAUGUGGUUUAAUUCGAUGAUACGCGAGGAACCUUACCCGGGCUUAAAUUGCAACCGAAUAUGGCGGAAACGCCAUAGCUAGCAAUAGCGGUUGUGAAGGUGCUGCAUGGUUGUCGUCAGCUCGUGCCGUGAGGUGUCGGCUUAAGUGCCAUAACGAGCGCAACCCUUGCCGAUAGUUACUAACAGGUCAUGCUGAGGACUCUGUCGGGACUGCCAUCGUAAGAUGUGAGGAAGGUGGGGAUGACGUCAAAUCAGCACGGCCCUUACGUCCGGGGCUACACACGUGUUACAAUGGGGGGUACAGAGGGCUGCUACCACGCAAGUGGAUGCCAAUCCCAAAAACCUCUCUCAGUUCGGAUUGAAGUCUGCAACCCGACUUCAUGAAGCUGGAUUCGCUAGUAAUCGCGCAUCAGCCACGGCGCGGUGAAUACGUUCCCGGGCCUUGUACACACCGCCCGUCAAGCCAUGGGAGCCGGGGGUACCUGAAGUGCGUAACCGCAAGGAGCGCCCUAGGGUAAAACUGGUGACUGGGGCUAAGUCGUAACAAGGUAGCCGU